CAGUCGCCGCGGGAACACAGAGGGUGCGAGCGUUAAUCGGAUUUACUGGGCGUAAAGCGUGCGUAGGCGGCUUCUUAAGUCGGAUGUGAAAUCCCUGAGCUUAACUUAGGAAUUGCAUUCGAUACUGGGGAGCUAGAGUAUGGGAGAGGAUGGUAGAAUUCCAGGUGUAGCGGUGAAAUGCGUAGAGAUCUGGAGGAAUACCGAUGGCGAAGGCAGCCAUCUGGCCUAAUACUGACGCUGAGGUACGAAAGCAUGGGGAGCAAACAGGAUUAGAUACCCCAGUAGUCCCUGUCUCUUAUAC
Molecule: ribosomal RNA, 301 nt
Filed under: uncultured bacterium
Lineage: Bacteria
Description: partial 16S ribosomal RNA
Rfam family: Bacterial small subunit ribosomal RNA
Source: RNAcentral